UACGUAGGUGGCGAGCGUUGUCCGGAUUUACUGGGCGUAAAGAGCUCGUAGGCGGUCUGUCGCGUCUGCCGUGAAAACCCAUGGCUUAACUGUGGGCUUGCGGUCGAUACGGGCAUCACUGGAGUUCGGCAGGGGAGACUGGAAUUCCUGGUGUAGCGGUGAAAUGCGCAGAUAUCAGGAGGAACACCGGUGGCGAAGGCGGGUCUCUGGGCCGAUACUGACGCUGAGGAGCGAAAGCGUGGGGAGCGAACAGG
RNAcentral lists this ribosomal RNA (254 nucleotides) under uncultured bacterium. Its description in RNAcentral is "partial 16S ribosomal RNA". It matches the Rfam family "Bacterial small subunit ribosomal RNA", at positions 524 to 776 of the family's 1533-position model. The record is from RNAcentral.